RNAcentral lists this ribosomal RNA (440 nucleotides) under uncultured ammonia-oxidizing beta proteobacterium. Its description in RNAcentral is "bacterial SSU rRNA". It matches the Rfam family "Bacterial small subunit ribosomal RNA", at positions 198 to 619 of the family's 1533-position model. Lineage: Bacteria; Pseudomonadati; Pseudomonadota; Betaproteobacteria. The record is from RNAcentral.
GGAGGAAAGCAGGGGAUCGUAAGACCUUGCGCUUUUGGAGUGGCCGAUGCCUGAUUAGCUAGUUGGUGGGGUAAGAGCCUACCAAGGCGACGAUCAGUAGUUGGUCUGAGAGGACGACCAGCCACACUGGGACUGAGACACGGCCCAGACUCCUACGGGAGGCAGCAGUGGGGAAUUUUGGACAAUGGGCGAAAGCCUGAUCCAGCAAUGCCGCGUGAGUGAAGAAGGCCUUCGGGUUGUAAAGCUCUUUCAGUCGAGAAGAAAAGGUUGCGACUAAUAAUCGCAACUUAUGACGGUAUCGACAGAAGAAGCACCGGCUAACUACGUGCCAGCAGCCGCGGUAAUACGUAGGGUGCGAGCGUUAAUCGGAAUUACUGGGCGUAAAGGGUGCGCAGGCGGCUCUGUAAGUCAGAUGUGAAAUCCCCGGGCUUAACCUGGGA